GAUGAACGCUGGCGGCGUGCCUAAUACAUGCAAGUCGAGCGAACAGACGAGGAGCUUGCUCCUCUGACGUUAGCGGCGGACGGGUGAGUAACACGUGGAUAACCUACCUAUAAGACUGGGAUAACUUCGGGAAACCGGAGCUAAUACCGGAUAAUAUAUUGAACCGCAUGGUUCAAUAGUGAAAGACGGUUUUGCUGUCACUUAUAGAUGGAUCCGCGCCGCAUUAGCUAGUUGGUAAGGUAACGGCUUACCAAGGCAACGAUGCGUAGCCGACCUGAGAGGGGGAUCGGCCACACUGGAACUGAGACACGGUCCAGACUCCUAAGGGAGGCAGCAGUAGGGAAUCUUCCGCAAUGGGCGAAAGCUUGACGGAGCAACGCCGCGUGAGUGAGGAAGGUCUUCCGAUCGGAAAACUCUGUUAUUAGGGAAGAACAAAUGUGUAAGUAACUAUGCACGUCUUGACGGUACCUAAUCAGAAAGCCACGGCUAACUACGUG
Molecule: ribosomal RNA, 497 nt
Filed under: uncultured bacterium
Lineage: Bacteria
Description: partial 16S ribosomal RNA
Rfam family: Bacterial small subunit ribosomal RNA
Source: RNAcentral